AGUGAACGCUGGCGGUAGGCCUAACACAUGCAAGUCGAACGGCAGCACAGUAAGAGCUUGCUCUUACGGGUGGCGAGUGGCGGACGGGUGAGGAAUACAUCGGAAUCUACUUUUUCGUGGGGGAUAACGUAGGGAAAAUUACGCUAAUACCGCAUACGACCUACGGGUGAAAGCAGGGGAUCUUCGGACAUCAGAGGAUUGAAGGACCGAAUGUCGAAUUAGCUAGUUGGCGGGGUAAAGGCCCACCAAGGCGACGAUCCGUAGCUGGUCUGAGAGGAUGAUCAGCCACACUGGAACUGAGACACGGUCCAGACUCCUACGGGAGGCAGCAGUGGGGAAUAUUGGACAAUGGGCGCAAGCCUGAUCCAGCCAUACCGCGUGGGUGAAGAAGGCCUUCGGGUUGUAAAGCCCUUUUGUUGGGAAAGAAAAGCAGCAGGUUAAUACCCCGCUGUUCUGACGGUACCCAAAGAAUAAGCACCGGCUAACUUCGUG
Molecule: ribosomal RNA, 492 nt
Filed under: uncultured bacterium
Lineage: Bacteria
Description: partial 16S ribosomal RNA
Rfam family: Bacterial small subunit ribosomal RNA
Source: RNAcentral